AUUUAGGCAAGAGGAAGCAGUGAGUCUGCUUUCUUGCUGAGAAGGACUCCCCACCCAUUUGGCUCCAGGAGGGCUCAACCCUGGGGAAGCAUCACAGCUGCCAAGAGUGAUGCAGGCUGGACCAACUGGGAAGAUCUUAGUGGCAAGCAUGAGCAAAGAAAGUCAGCUCAGCAGAGAAGGCAGCACUCACAGCCUCGAUGCAGCUUUGGGGCCUGUGGUUCACCUACUGCUCUUUCACCUAGAGCUAUCACACAACUCACCUACAGCCAUGAAGAUCUCAUUUACUUGGUGGUUGGAUUUUGCAGAUGUCUCCACGAACAACAGGCCUUUGGUCCUUGCAAACUCUUCCCCCUCCUAGGUGAAGACAAACAGAAUUAUUCGUCCAACCUCUUCUGGGGCUGCCUGUUUAGUUACAAUGGCAUUUCAUGGCAGGUCAAUAACGAUGUCUGGAAACCUUUUAAAUGCCUGGCUUCACAGUGAACCACUCAGCAAUUGCUGCUGAGAGAGUGAUGAGGGAGCCUGGGAGCUCACCACAGGCACUCACCUCUGUGGUGACUUCUCGCUCAGCACCAAGGUCCACCUUGUUGCCCACCAAAGCAAUGACUAUUUCAUCAGGAAGGAACUCCUUCUCCAGCUCCCUCAGCCAAAGCUUUGCUCUGUUGAGUGUUUCCUGAAGAGAUGGAGACAAAACCACCCGGUAGUCCAUUUGGUAUUUAAUCCCUUUGUCUCAGGCAUAGCAAAGCUGGACAGGUGACACCAAACCAAAGGUCGUGGAAAAGAUGUGGUGGUGAGGCUUUGGUUGCCCUCCCAGAGGAACAAGUCACUGAUCCUCAAACACUUUUAGGGAUAAAUCAGCCUUAGAAGGGAUGCACCCUUUCUGCAUGUCAGCAGAAAUUGCCCCUGCAUGGGAAAGGACAACCCCUGGCACAUCCUAGGUAGUGCUCACGUAUUGCUUUCAGCUCUACCAAGGACAAGAAGCAUCAUCUGGACACCUCUGCCCAGCUGCUGCAUCAUGGUACAAAUGCACAGAUGGGAUCAGCAUCCCCAGCUUUACCUUGUUAGCAAUGUCAUAGAUGAGGAGAGCAGCAUGGGCACCCCUGUAGUAGAGGUGGCAGACACUCUGGUACUUCUCCUGGCCUGCUGUGUCCCAGAUCUCAAAAUUGACAGUGGCUGCCUCCAGGUCAAGCUUCUGUGUGAAGAAGGAGCCUGCAAGCAAGAUGCAGGUGGCACAUUUUCUUUCAGCAAAAGCAGAGAGCACAGACCAUGAGGUCUAACCCACUUUGAGGGCUGUUAGCAAUGCUCUAAUGCACAGAACUGGGAUAGGAUUCUUUUAGAUAAGCACUGGUAUCAUUGAUGGGAUGGCAUGCAGCAAGGCAGGGCAGCCUGUGGCAGGUUUGGAGCACUUUCUAGCAACAUAUUUGGACAGAUGCACACCACUUUUGAUGUCAGAUAGCACUCAGCUUUGCAGAAUACCCCCUAUAUAGAGAGCCACCUCUGCUUUACUGGUGGGUCAGACCUGAGAGAGCUAAGAAUAGGAAUAUCCCCUGAAAAGGACUUCUACCAGAGACAAGCCACCAUCCCUGCUCCCAGAGAGCAGAUGGCUCCCUGUCAACCAGCCAGAACCAAGGCAGAAGGACAAGGGGACCAUCUCCACAGCAUCUCAUUCUCUUCUACAAGCUAUCUUUUCAGGCUGCAGGUGGGAACAUAACCUUUGUGCCUGCCAUGCCUUCUUAGGACAACCCCCAAACUCCAGAUACAUCAUGUAAAAUGAACAUCUAUGACAUCUAGGAGCUGUAGAAAACUGUGAUGAUGCAAACAUAGGGGAGGCAGCUUGGUCCCAGUGGGCAUGUUGGCCCAAGGAAGGUUAUAGUGUGAGUAAGGCUCACAGCUGUCCAGGUGGCUUUCAUCAAAGCAUGAACAUGCACGUGAAGUGCCUUCAGACAUGGGUUAUUCAGCAUAGCUUGUCAGAACAGGACGUGCAGGGCCCUUGGAGCAGAGGACUGUGUUUGCAGCAUGGCCAGGAUGUGGGAAGGUGCUCUUGUCUCUACAGGCAAGCUGGAGGAAUGAGGUACUGCUGUACAUUGAUCAUCAGGCAGUGCUGAGGGUGAGUGAUGCUAUUGUAGCUGGCCAUCAUCUCCUGGGCUAUCCUGCCCACCUGCACCCCAGCCAGAACCUCCUGGUUCCUGUGGGACAUUGAGACCUGGGCAGCAUGUGUACAGGGCAGUCUCCUAGAGCAUCUGAACAGCUGUAAAGGCUGCACAGAACCAAGCAUGCAUAGAGCAGGUGGGACCACACAGUUUGGAUCCCAGAUUUCACUCAUUUUACUGCUCAUCUGCCUCCAAAAAUCAGAGCAAAGCCAAGCAGCAACGGAACAAGUCUAGAACGUGUUUUAAAGUUGGGCCUAUGCUACUGCAGGAUAUACCAACCUGUUCUCAUGCAUCCCACCCCACUGCAAGGCAGGGCAUCAAGUCUAGUCUCUUGUCCAGAGCCAUCAAGCUAUUGAAGCCUUUCACUUACAUCCCACAGUUGGCAGUGACUCCCGGAAGUCAUUCUUCACAUAUCGAUAGGCCAGGCUUGACUUUCCCACUGAUGUGCUCCCCAGCAGAACCACCUUGUAGACAUAGGUGGGAUGAAUCUCCUUUGGGGAGAUGCUUGGCAUUGCCUUCUGUGCCACGUCCUGCAAAGAAGCAACUCUCUUAAAAACAUGUCUGCAGUGACCCCAGCUCCAUCAGCUGGGCCUCCUGCUUCAGCUCCUGAGCAGUGGCAGAGGGGCAGGUGGGGUUUAACCUCAAAAUAGGCUAGAACAAGACCAUUAAUAUCCUGAAACAAAUUUAAUACAUCAAACCAUCUGCUGCUGUCAGUUACGACCGAGGGUGGAGAUCUUUAAGAAGAAACUGGAUGCAAAAGGCCAUUUUGGAUGUAGACAGAGAGAUAGGAUUGGGUGCAUCUCAUCUAAAGAGUGGACAUACUGUAAAAAGUCAAUGACAGAGAAUAUCAGUUAUGGAUGUGCCUUGCUCUUGAGCAUGCCUCCCUUCCCAAAGUCCUGGUGAAAAGCUUAGGCUGGUGUUCUAUGUUUAUUGUGGGUCUUGGUUAGAAGUUGUACCUGCUGAGCUUAACUAAGGCUGCAGGUGAAGUCAGGCAUGAAUGUGAUGCUGCUACUAAUUUGCUAAAGACAAUGCCCAGGUGAUGGCUGAGCACCGCAAAAGCUGAUGGGUUUUGUGGCAGCAACACACCUAGACAACAUGUUUCUUGCCAGGGUGAAAAAGCAGGAGUGAGUGGACCUGACUCAAGCACCCUUGAGGACAGCAGGACAUAAAGCAGACAGCACAUGCUCCACCACUGUGGAUUAGGAAACCACGGGCAGACCAAAUCCAUGAACUCUCACAUCCUCAUGACCAUUGCACCACAGAGCAUGAUUCUGCAUCACUCAGGGUGGAGCUCUGCCUCGUGGUGACUUGGGACUGUGGAAGAGCAUGAUCCAAAACAACAGUAAUCACCUCACACCUGACUCAAAGAGAGCCACUGCAGAGCAUUGGCCAUACCCUAGGAAGGGAAUGGUUGGUGUGAGCCUUCCUGAAUGGCAUAUUUGUUCUUCUCCAGGCCUUGAACUCAAGGAAGUGAUAGUGCUUUGCUGCCAGCAGGAGCUGUCAGCAAAGGAAGGUGAAUACUAGUGCCAUGCAGCUACCUAAAACUUUGUCCUGGCUCCUCCUUUCAGAGCUCCUCAUCUAGUAUUUCUCAGUCAUAUGGAGAGCUAUGCAGGAGAGAGGGAGGUUCAUGAAAAGCCUGAAGAUGAAGUGCAGUAGGAUGUUGAAUUGAGCAGAAAGGUAUGAGAUGAUCUUGCAUGCAGAAGCAAAGGGGAAAUAUGCCAGAAUCACUGCUGUGUGCAGUGAUGGAAUGUGCCUUUAUAUAUAGAUCUAAUCUUCUAACACCCAAAGGCAAGCAGAUGAGCCUUCUGAAAUGUCUGUGUCCUGCUGAUGGUCCCUGCUUGUGUGUCCUGACUUUUGCCGCUAUUGUUUGUCAGAUGAAGAGCCUCCCAUGCUAGGGUGAAAAAUGCUGAUGUGGGGUACUUUUGAAGACAGCACAGGGACCUGCAAGGCUUAUAAUGAAAAUGUGAUGCAAUUACUCCAAUUUCUACCUGGAGCUUGCAGGAGUUUACAAGUGAGCAACAUGAAACAUAUUUACAAAGACGUCAAUGUGACUCCCAGCCCAGGAAGCUGCAGCUCCUUCAUCUAACAAAAGCCUUUUGUUUCUGCUUAUCCCACAUCUCCCCUGUCUUCUCCCUGCAAUCUGGCAGGCUCCGAAGCUUUAAUUCUUCUCUCUUCCCUGAGCUUGUUAUCAAAAUAGUUUUCCAUUAAGUGAUCCUUGUUGCUGGCUGAACCUGGGUCUGUAUCUAUGUUUUUUCUGUUCCCUGAGAUGGGCUUUCAUGCCCUUGAAACAUAGGGGUAAAAUCUUCUCCACCAGCUCACACAGCAUAGAGAUGAAAAGCAGGAUCACAGUUUGUGCAGAGCACCUAGUCAGGGAUGGGUUAUGCUAUCUUUUAAGCAGGAAAAAAAAAGAUAAACAAUUCAACAUAAGGCUGUGCUGCACCUGGUAUUGUUUAUAUACAUUUGCCUCUUUGUGGACCUAGAAAUAAUAUUACUAUCUUUUCUGGGCAGAUAAGUUAGCUACCAUAGGUGAUAAGACAUAAAACUCUUUAGAGAAGCAAGAAGCUGCAUGAAAAAAAAAAACCCACCAGAUUGUCUCUCCUAAACUCAGCUUCCUAUUACAUCACUCUGCUGCUCACUGUUUAACCCUAAAAAGUACUAGCAACCCUGAAACAAAGCUCACCUGAGAACUACUGUAAUGACAGAUAUUUCCUUGCAAACUUCUCAUGCUGGCAAGCACCUCUUAGAGACAGGGAGUUUAGCCACAGCUCAUUUAAAACUUUAUUUUCCCUGUUAAAAAGGCAGAAGGUGAGUCUUUCUUCUGAUCUGAGGAGAGCAACAUGGAAGCUAAAGCUGCCCUUAUUCCCAUUCAAUGGAAAACAGGAUUUAGGAGAAACUGUUUUCCUUCUCCCUUUUUCUUGCUGAAAAAGAAAUGUACAGAGUAAAACCCUGUGUUCAGUGGCUAGGGGGCCAUGCAAAAAUUCCUCCAGACAUCUCACAUGUCUGACAGUCACUUUUCCGUGGUUGCCUCCGGCCCUGUGGAAGAGCCUUUCAGUGGUGAGACUCAGCUUAGGGUUGCAGUCACUUCCACAAAUCCAGAAUGCUGCUCUGGCUCCGGGUGUGGAUAAUGGUGCUGCUGCCUCACAGCAAGCAGCAUCCCUGUUCUUUCAGCCUGGGCUGCCAAUGAAGCAUAAACUCAUUUUUCAUCUGGAAACCUCCCUGAGCUGACUGAGUAUAUCCAGGAGAAACAUUUAAAGCAGCCUCCCUGCUGGUUUCUGUGAGUUAAGCCCCAGCAGAGUGCACCUGCAUGCCAGAAACCUUUUGUCGGCAUAACUGGAAUAAGUUUUGAUUUAUCUCACUGCAAACUCGAAACUCUAAAGAAGUCACUGGUGCUUCUGUGCAAAAUGGCUUUAGCAGAUUUUCCCCUGCAGGCUUUCAAAGGCUGAGAUGUAACCCAAACUGGGACUGCCUACAUGUUGGAUUUCAGACCUGGUAAAGAAUAAUUCAACAACUCAGGGAGCCGCCUGGGGAAUAUGUGAGGCGUUAUAACUCCUGUCCUUGUACCCAGAGGCCACACCGAGGGGUAAGGAAGGCUGAAUGCAUUCAGAUUCAAUAUAAAGAGAUGGAGGUUAAUACAGACAAGCAUUUAUCUUUAAUCAAAUGUAAAAAUCCUGAUGGUGGACUUAGUCUCCAUAUACAGCUUAAUAUUUUAUCAUAGCUGUGUCUAGCAGCAGAUAUUUGGGGUUUGCCUGAUCUUACACUUACCUAGAAGGUGAGUACAGAAAUGUUCACAACGCAGAUCAUUUCUCACUUCCUAACGGAGGAUUAAGCAUUGCUGCAUCCAGGAAAUACUGUUCUCAGCCAGACACCCUCAUCUCCAUGUGUCCUCUCUCCUUCCCACGGGUAAUGGUUGGGUAUGCAGAUGCAGUUCCAGUCAGCAUUAACCAGCUUCCCCUACAGACCCCACUGGUUUAAUGUAAAUCAACUUAAAGGUGAUCUGUUUGCCGAGUAUGGCAGCAGCUUCACAGAAGUAAUGUUGCGCUUGAACUGCCUGCCCUCAUUGUUUCCAAGAAGGCACCUGACAAAUCUGUUUCUGAGGGUGACUCAGUUGUUUAGAAUUAGCCUGAAAGUGGACUUUAUCUAAGGAGCAUCCUUUCAAACUGGUUUUUUAUGGGCAUAAACCCUAGUAAUAAAAAGCAGAAAUAUGAGGUGGUGGAUUAGAUAGUUGGGCUGGACUGCAGUAUCAAGAGCUUGACUUUCACCAUUUAGUAAAUCAGUAUCUCUGCAGUAUUUUUAACCUGGAGAGGAAGUAUCUUGGUAUAUUUAUUGCAAAGGGAUAAGACUUUUAUUUCCAAAUGGAAACAUUGAAAAAAUAAAAGAAAUGCAUACCUGUGGA
Pogoniulus pusillus (Red-fronted tinkerbird) is the source of this 6540-nucleotide long non-coding RNA. RefSeq lists it as uncharacterized. Lineage: Eukaryota; Metazoa; Chordata; Aves; Piciformes; Lybiidae. The record is from RefSeq and is a predicted model, not a curated record. The transcript has 2 exons.